RNAcentral lists this ribosomal RNA (636 nucleotides) under Pleurotus pulmonarius. RNAcentral's name for it is "LSU rRNA". It matches the Rfam family "Eukaryotic large subunit ribosomal RNA", at positions 37 to 676 of the family's 3401-position model. Lineage: Eukaryota; Fungi; Basidiomycota; Agaricomycetes; Agaricales; Pleurotaceae. The record is from RNAcentral.
UGCAUAUCCAAAAAGCGGAGGAAAAGAAACUAACAAGGAUUCCCCUAGUAACUGCGAGUGAAGCGGGAAAAGCUCAAAUUUAAAAUCUGGUGGUCUUUGGCCAUCCGAGUUGUAAUCUAGAGAAGUGUUAUCCGCGCUGGACCGUGUACAAGUCCCCUGGAAUGGGGCGUCAUAGAGGGUGAGAAUCCCGUCUUUGACACGGACUACCAGGGCUUUGUGAUGCACUCUCAAAGAGUCGAGUUGUUUGGGAAUGCAGCUCAAAAUGGGUGGUAAAUUCCAUCUAAAGCUAAAUAUUGGCGAGAGACCGAUAGCGAACAAGUACCGUGAGGGAAAGAUGAAAAGAACUUUGGAAAGAGAGUUAAACAGUACGUGAAAUUGUUGAAAGGGAAACGCUUGAAGUCAGUCGCGUCUGCCAGGGAUCAACCUUACUUUUGUGAGGCGUACUUCCUGGUUGAUGGGUCAGCAUCAGUUUUGGUCGCUGGAYAAAGGUCAGAGAAAUGUGGCACCUUCGGGUGUGUUAUAGUCUUUGAUCAGAUACAGUGGCUGGGACUGAGGAACUCAGCGCCGCAAGGCUGUCUUAGGAUGCUGGCAAAAUGGCUUUAAUCGACCCGUCUUGAAACACGGCCAAAGGAGUCA